GCGGAGCGAGUGGAGCGGCGAGGAGGGCCGGGCGGCGUGCACUAGCUGAGAAAAGCAAUUUAUUGGAAGGCAGUUGGAUAGCUAAAAUAAUAAAUAGGAAGUCUGCAGAACCAAGCUUAGAAAUGGGAAACAAUCAAGGGAGACUGGCUGGCAGAGACACAGGCAAGAAUACUGUGGUGGGUCGCCAUUUCCCUCUCCAGGGAAUCUGCCCAACCCAGGUAUUGAUCCCAGGUCUCCGGCAUUAGCCAGAGGAUUCUUUACCACUGAGCCACAUGUUACAUUUUAAAAUGAGACUACUUUCCUGGUGGCUCAGAUGAUGAAGAAUCUGCCCGCAAUGCAGGAGACCUGGGUUUGAUCCCUGGGUUGGGAAGAUCCCCCUGGAGACGGAAAUGGCUGCCCACUCUAGGAAGUCCCAAGGACAGACAUGCCUGGCAGGCUACAGUUCAUGGGGCCGCAGAGGGUUGGACACUGCUGAGCGACU
Molecule: long non-coding RNA, 481 nt
Organism: Dama dama (fallow deer)
Lineage: Eukaryota; Metazoa; Chordata; Mammalia; Artiodactyla; Cervidae
Exons: 4
Source: RefSeq, a predicted model, not a curated record